RNAcentral lists this long non-coding RNA (2925 nucleotides) under Panax ginseng (ginseng). RNAcentral describes it as "long non-coding RNA (PGIN_LNC009653)". Lineage: Eukaryota; Viridiplantae; Streptophyta; Magnoliopsida; Apiales; Araliaceae. The record is from RNAcentral.
GGAAAUUCAAUUUUAUUAAUAAUAAGUUGGGGUCUUACAACAAAAUCUUCAUCAUUAAUUCAAAUUGUAUUCUUCCAAAUUCAAUACAUUUAUGACACACAAUAACUGUAACGCCCCCAAAUCCGGCUUCCUAGAACUUUGGACCUGGUGCGUCACGAUCUUACAUAUUCUUUAACUACGCGGAAUAUAUAAACAUACAUUGUUUAUUUCAAAGGAUUCUACAACAUUACCCAAGGUCUACAAUGACUUUAAUACAUACCUUCAGUAACUUAAAAGGUUUACAAUAUCAUUUACAUCAGAUAACUUAAUAGUUUUAAAUGCAUAAUAAUCUACUUUUGGAAUUUGCCUUUGCCUCUGUCUUUCUUCGAGCCUUCGUUUUAAUCUGCAAUUUGUUAUCAUAAUAUAGCAAGGGUGAGCAACUACUUUGCUCAUCAAGUUUAAAUAUAAUGACGAUAUAUCAUGAUUGAAAGAAAGAAUAAGCUUUCGAAUUUUCAACAAUAUAAUAAUUAUGAAAGAGUAUGAAUCAUAAUUUCAAUAAUUGAACGACUGAAUCAAUAAUAUUUUGUGGUCAACAAUGACCAUGAACAAAUUUAAAUGAACCUUACGGUAAUGAAGGUAAUCAACCUUUUAUACCUGAUGAACAUAUGCAACAUGCACUAAGUGAGAAUCAAUAAUCAUAGAUGUGAAAUAAUUAAUAAUAAUUAUCCACUAACAUGCUUGAAAGAUAAUAACUCGAGUUUGAGUUAGUGAAUUUGUCUUGUCUGCGGACUACUGCUACAAAACUCUAUUUAUCCGCUUAAUGAAUUUAACUUAUCCUCUUUGGAAAGACCUAUCAUGGAUCCUUCAAUUAGUAUAACAUAUAAUUAUUCAUAAAAUUAUUAUUCUCAUAAAUUAUCUAACAUUAAUCACAUAAUUAAAUAUUUGAUAUCACAUUAACUCCUUAAUAAUAUUAUCGUCCCUUGAUAAUAUUAUUAUAAGUAAUCAUCUUAACUCUUAAAUAAUAUUAUAAUAUUAUUAAUCAUCUAAUAAUAUUUUAGUCUCUCUCUAAUAUUAUUAAUCUUUUAAUAAUUUUUUAAGAUCUAAUAUUAUUAAUCCUUUAAUAAUAUUUUAACUAUCUAAUAUUAUUAAUUAUUUAAUAAUAUUUUAAUUAUCUAAUAUUAUUAACCUUAUUAGUCUUUAAUUACUAUUUAAAACUAAUUAAAUAAUAAUUAAUUAAUCUUUGUCCUUAUUUAUUAUUAAUUAAAUAAUAAAUAAUUAGUCUAUUAACUUUAUUAGUCUUUAAUUAUUAUUUAACCCUAAUUAAAUAAUAAUUAAUUAAUAUUUAUCCUUAUUUAUUAUUAAUAUUAAUUAAAUAAUAAAUAAUUAAUUUAAUUUACUAACUUUAUGUUACUAAAAUAACAUGUAAGUAAGUAAUUAUCAUUAUUUAUUACUUAUUCUUACUUAAAUAAUAAAUAAUUAGUUUAUCUACUUAAACAUUCUUUAAUCAUUAUUCAAUAUUAAUUAAAUAAUAAUUAAUAAAUUAUUUAACUCUAUUUAUUAUUUAAUCUUAAUUAAAUAACAAAUAAUUAGCCUAAUAACAUUAUUUCUAUUUAUUUAUUAAUUAGUGUUAAUUAAAUAAUAAUUAAAUAGUUAAGUACACUUAAACAAUAUGUAAUUAGUUUAAUAACCAAUUAGUGGCCUUAAAAAUUUAUUAGUUUGUAAUUUUAAAUGAUUUAAAAGGGUUUAAACCAUUAAAUACACUAAUAAUUACUAAAUUACACUGAAAAAACCCAAUUAAAUAUCAAAAUAUUCUUUAUUAAUUUAGAAAAAAUUUGGUCCUAGACCUGACCCAAGAACCGGUCAAAAAAGUGGUGAACCGGUCGACGCAAGGUGCUGGCCGAUUCACUGGACAGAAAACCGGCAGGAAGUUCCUUAAAUUUUCUAAUUUUUUCCAGAUUUGGGGUCCUUCACUAAAACUUGAAUAAAAUGUAAUAUAAAAUUUCGAUAAAUCUAAGUUGGUCUCGUUGGAUUCGUAUCUUUCCGAACUAAAAGAUUUCAUCUUCAAAAUGCAAAUUUGGACAUGUUUUAGUAACUAAAAAUGGGCCAGAUGUGGACUGUUCUUGCAAGGUUCCAACAGUUGGAGUGUUUUGGUACAAAAUUCAUAUCUUGCUCAUUUCAACACAUCUUUGCAUGCUUCACAAGAGAUUUUGUUCUUAAUUUACAUAUCUAGAAUACUAAGAAAGAAAAUCACAAAAUUUAUUUGUAAGUUUCAAAACGGAACACUUCAAUCACACUUUCCGAUUAAAUUUUUCGGUAAAACUCUUUUUCAUGUAUUUUACCAUACUUUUCAAUAUAAACACAUACCAAUACACAUGUUAAACCCAUUUAACUUUAUAUAUAUCAUUCUAGGAUACUUCUAGCCCUUUAAAGUUUGAAGUCCAUGUAUUUAACAUAAAAAUACACAAAGCAUACAAGAUUAAGAUUUUCUUAAACUUUUGACAUAAUUUUUCUUUUCUUUCCUUUUUGAUCAAUUUUUAAACACUCAAAUAGGUAAGAUUAAUACACAAAAACAUAGAAAGCAUUUAGAUCAAGAGUUUUUUAGACUUCAAGAACAUAAUCCUUAUAUUUUGAAAAACAACCAAAAUAUUUAAACAAGGCUUAGAUUUAAAGUUUACCUUGAUUUAUGGGCUACUCUUCUAGUCUUUCCAAAAUAUGAAAGGAAUUUAGUAUGCAUAAAAGAACCAAAUCUCUUCUUUCUUCCUUCCUAUAGAUGGUCCAAACUUCUUUCCUUUCUCCAGCUUUAAUUUGUUUUGUUAGCUAUUUUUUUGGAAGUAAGAAGAAAUUUUGUUGACUAAAGUGGUAUAGGUGUUUCUAGUAUUGAAAAAAAAAUAUACAUUUAAUUAGUAUAUCUAACUCAAAUCUUCCAACAUCUGAUGCUAUUUCUCU